AAAAAAGCAGGGGUCUGGUCUCCUUUAUGAGCAGGUCUCUCGUAGAUUUCAGGAACAUCACCGUUGUUAUUGGGUGAACCAAUGUCUUGUUUGUGGCUUAAGGUUCAGUAAAUGAUGGAACAUCU
Neltuma alba is the source of this 125-nucleotide small nucleolar RNA. RefSeq annotates it as small nucleolar RNA snoR74. NCBI's taxonomy places the organism in Eukaryota, Viridiplantae, Streptophyta, Magnoliopsida, Fabales, Fabaceae. The transcript has a single exon. The record is from RefSeq and is a predicted model, not a curated record.